RNAcentral lists this ribosomal RNA (433 nucleotides) under uncultured bacterium. RNAcentral's name for it is "partial 16S ribosomal RNA". It matches the Rfam family "Bacterial small subunit ribosomal RNA", at positions 29 to 507 of the family's 1533-position model. The record is from RNAcentral.
AACGAACGCUGGCGGCAUGCCUAACACAUGCAAGUCGAACGAGACCUUCGGGUCUAGUGGCGCACGGGUGCGUAACGCGUGGGAACCUGCCCUUAGGUUCGGAAUAACUCCCCGAAAGGGGUGCUAAUACCGGUUAAUGUUUCCGGACCAAAGAUUUAUCGCCUUUGGAUGGGCCCGCGUUGGAUUAGCUAGUUGGUAGGGUAAAAGCCUACCAAGGCGACGAUCCAUAGCUGGUCUGAGAGGAUGAUCAGCCACACUGGGACUGAGACACGGCCCAGACUCCUACGGGAGGCAGCAGUGGGGAAUAUUGGACAAUGGGCGAAAGCCUGAUCCAGCAAUGCCGCGUGAGUGAUGAAGGCCUUAGGGUUGUAAAGCUCUUUUACCCGGGAUGAUAAUGACAGUACCGGGAGAAUAAGCUCCGGCUAACUCCGUG